UGGGGAAAGUUUUUAUUUUUGUUGAAUAUACUUUGGCAUUUCGUUUUGUUACAACAAGCAAGAAGUCAUUUUGUAAAUUUUAAAAGUGAAUAUAUAAAGAAAAUAUUUAGUCCUUAUCAGAUCAACUCAUUAACUCAUUAGCUCAUUAACUUAGCACCUACUGUGACCCCACAACUGUACUCUAUGCCACCAAAAACAUAAAAGAAAAAACUUCUGUCCUUAAGCAUCAUAAUCCAGUAGAGGAGCCUAUAUGUAUGGAUAGUUUACAAAUAUUUUUCAAAUUCUAGCAGUCCUUUCUUUUUCAUAAGUAAAAAACAACUGUCAUUAUUUUAUAGAUGAAGGAAGGUGACAUGCAGAGAAACUGAUGCCAGCAAGUGAGAGAACUCUAUUGUGAUUCCAAAUCCAGGAGUUUCUCUACCGAAUGCUGAUGGAAUCUACUCCAAAGAUUGACCAAAAAUCAUGGACAAGACCCGGCUAUCUUUCAUGGAGCAUUAGCAAUGGCAAAGAACUUAGAAAUCCUCUCUUUUGACACUUCCAUUUUAAAGACAGGAAACUGAAGCCCAGAAAGUCCUGAAGGCUGUCAUAACUGGUGAUUAGUGGCAGAGCUGGGACUUGAAUCUACUACUCUUUCAGCCCAUCCAUGCCAUGCUUAUCAUUAUGAAUGACCCAGUGAAACAUCCAUAUAGCAUUCCUCAGUGCCCCACUUUACCAGGAAGGUGCUCUCAUCAAUUGCAAUCUGACCUAAGCAAAAUUCUCACUGGUUCAAUGUUUCUGCAGACUGGCAUUAAUGGAAUAGGCAGUCAUGCUCAUCUAAUCAUGUCUUUCUUUAAAUAGCUUGGGCUGACAUGUUGUUUUCUGUCCAGAAGAUAGAUAGGCAAACACCAGCACAACUAGCAUUUAUCAAGUAUCUAUUAUAGGGCCCUCAAUGAGAUUAGGGUUUUUGUUUGCAUUAUUUUAACAUUAUCUUUAAUAGUCUAUGAGGUAUUGAAGUCUAUCUUAUAGCUAAUAAAUAAUGGAACCAAAGGCUAAAAUCCAGGACUUUUUUUAAAAAAAGCUAGGUCUAGGGCUCUUUCUCUGUGUUUUGCCUUCCAGGGUACGGCAGAAAAACCACUGAAUUUAUCCCAAAGACUGUAGCUUCUUUAGAAGCAAAAUAUGCCAAUAAAAUCUCGGUUUCCAGAGGGGGAGUCAAUGGAAAUCAAAUAAGAAUGUAUUUCAUUCUGUCAUCUCCUGACCUAUAAAACAGAGUUAGAAGACCAGACUCCUGGAGAGUUGCUGCCAUUAGGCCUUACAGGAGUCUCUGCUCAUUUCUCGUUGUUCCAGAUUUUUCAAUCUUGUCUUCAGGCCAGUUUCUUGAUCUCCUCUCAUCACAGCAGCACUCCAUCCUGUCCAAGCAUAAGAAAUCUGUGCUGUCUUGGACAGAUGACAGAACUUAGACUUUAAACCACUGAUUUUUUUGUGGUGGGCAUUUAGGAGUGCUAAAGCCAAAAAUAGAUGCUCAUUUAAAUCUAAGGGUUACUCUCCCAUCUUCUCACUUCCAUCUUAAUGUCACCUAGUUCUAAUCAGGGUCUACUGCUUAAUGCAGUAAGAGAAAAAUGAUGUUUUGUUUACAAUAGCAGGUCCCAUUGUGACUGUGUUCUUGUAGUGCAACUCUUUUCAAAGCAAAGUUUUCCCUGAGAUAGUGAGCUGAAAUAAAUAUAUAUCCCCUACUGCUGAUUCUUCUUUAUUUUUUUCUCUAAACAGAAAGGACAGUGCCAUUGAAAGCAUAAAAUGCACCUAAAAAAAUAUUCUUCAGUAAAGCCCAAUAGAAUCAAGGUGUGACAUCCCCAAGAACAGCCAAGUCACAAAAGAGCUAGUCAUGCUGAAGGCCAAGUUAAAUAACCCAUAAUUUUGGAUCUCUGGGUCCCACUAGCACCCUUGAGUGUGGGCUUAUAAAAUUCCUGAACGGGCAAGACGGCCCCUGUUGAAUCUUGCUUGACUUGGCCCCUUCAUGGGUAACUCUUCUGUGAUUUGGCUUUCCCCACACAUCUCACACCUUCCCACAAGUGACCUUUUCACUCUGUGCUUGGCUUUUCUGUGGUGGGUUAAGUGUCUGCACACAUUCACAUCAUCAUGUUCCCGAUGUGAAGAUGACAUGGUCAUACAUGCUAUUGAUCUCCAAAUAUUCAAAGGACAUUGAAGCUCUGCUCAGGCUCCUGCAGUCUUUUCUGGGAUAAGUAUGGAUAUAAGGAUAUGGCAAGAUGAUGAAUGCCCUACGUAUAUCUAUUGUUCUGAUUUGCGUAGCCCCUUGAGCUGCACAGCACUUCUUAUAAAAGUGAGCUUCCACAUGUCUAAUGGUGCUUAGUCCCUUAGACUCUAAAUCUUAGACCAUGUGUUGUUAUUUCAUACCACCCCAGAGCCAUUUCCUCUUAUAUAAAAUUUCCAGAAAUCCAUAGGCAUACUGCAUCACGUGGCAGUGGGCUUCUGCAUUUCCUUGGAGCAUUAUGACAGGCCACUCUAAUUAUAAUCACUGGUUGUCAGCUUAUCCUCUGUCUGUGUUAAGCAGUCUCACUUUCAACUACUCAUCGUCAUCUCCAGAAAGCCUCCCCUGAACUUUAGGCUGACCCAACUGCUCCCAUAGUAUCCAUAUUUACCUCUAUUUUGGCAUUUCCUCACUACAGUAAUUGUUUCUAUUUUUGGUCUGUCACCACAAUAGACACAUUAGAGCUCCUAAGUUGGAUGGACUAGCUCUCACUUAUCUGCAUAUUACCAACACUUAGCACUAUGUCCUGCAGAAAAUAUACAUUCAGUACAUAUUGGUGAGCCAUUGUUGAAGGUUUAGUUGAAUGGGUUAAGGUAAAAAUUAUUUCCAGGCCUGUGAAUUAAUUCUAUUCCAGAACUCUUUCUGUUGCCAAUAUUAGUGUGAUGAAAUAUUAAGUAUGACUUGUGUUGACACUCAGACAGAAGGACAUAUGGCCCACUAGAAUUGUCACUGCAAAAAGGCUAAUUAGUUUAACUCUCAAAGGGUAACUUUAUUUACCAUGCCUUUGUUGGAGGGGAGGUGUUGAAAGAAUGACUGACUUCCCCAUGCUUUCACCUUGUAGGAGACAAGGAAUUUGGCGGCCACAUAGAUUGGCCUUUAGUUUUGCCUAUACCUCAGUAUCCUUCAGUAUUAUCUUCCUUAAAUCUUCCCAAAAGUCUGUAUAAGGUUUCAUGGACAUUACCAAACUAAACUGCCUGAUAAGACGUAUGUACCCCUCAACCUCUGUUUCAACUUUUUAUCUAUCGUCUUCCCACCCUCCACUGAAACGCAAGCAUGCCUUUGUCUCAGAUAUAGACUGGGAGCCCAAGAGAUAAUCUUUACCAAUCUCAGCAUCUCCAGUUUUCUCUGUUAAGCUACAUGGUAAAGAUGUCCCUGAGAGACUAAGUCUGGGGAAUUUUUGUAUACCAGAGGUUUGACCAGAAAACUGAGAUUUUUCCAACUCUGGAUCCUUUGGCUUUUGCCCUGAUUAUUUUACUAGGGCCUUACUCUUCUCUAAUUCUUAACAGUUAAUAAAAAGUCUUUCUGUUGCCAUGGUUGAGAACAAUGAGCCCUUGUCAGGAUAAGAUUUGGAGAGCUUUAAUGAGAAGAUGUAUGUAAGCCCAUGUUGCAAAGAGACAAAACAAGAAUACAGAAAAAAGGCUCUGUUGAUGAAGCAAAAACCCUCCUGAGACCAGCACACUCUGGAAAUGGAAAAUGGAACCAGUGGCAUUUUGCCUAUUUGUUCUGGGCACCAUUCUGGAUGAAGGGAUAGCUAAUUUUUCUCUGUGAAGAUUAAUUAGUGAUGGGACCCAAGAUAGUUGUUGUUGUAGAGGGUGCCUCACCCUGUGAGCUUCCUUUCUGAGGAGCACCACCAGCAACACCCUUAGGUCAAAGGCCUGAGCAUUGUCACAGAGUUAGACAAAGCCUAAUUCCAGAAGCUUAGUCUAGAAGCCAUGUAUGAAUAUAGUUUCCAAACAGACUGAAUCUUUGGGGACUGCAAAUAACAUUACAUGUUCAGGCCUUCCACACUCCUGCCUUGAGGUAGGAAGUAUUAUGCAAAGACCUGCAAAAACUACAGGCUGAGUGGAGUGUGAUCCUGACACUCUAGAGAUGACUUCCAUAUGCAAGUCAUACUUGAGCUCUUUCUGAAUGAAACCAAACAAGAGGUGAUUCCUGUUAUACUACAAGCUUAUUUAAGCCAGGGAACAUGGCUUGUGUAGCAUUCUCAGAAUUUUGCCCAGGAAAAGAAAUAUUUUCUAAAAGUCUGCCUUAUCAAAUAUUAAUGGUUCUAACCUCAGAUUGCCUGAGUGUGACCUUUGGCAAGAUUCUUAGUCUUUCUGCAUUUUUCUCUCACCUAUAAUGUGGGUAUAAUAAUAAUACUGUCAGCUUCAUAAAGUCGUUGGGAAUUAAAUAAGACAUGGUACUAACUAAGGCACUUAAGCUGGCAUGAAUAAGCACUUGAUAAAUGUUUCUUGUUUUAUACUUAUCACUUGAGAAAAGCUUACUCAGCAUUUUAUAAAUCCUCAAGAUCUUUUAGGAGAACGGGAAGGAAUCCUACUAAAAGAUAUAUCUCACAGAUGAACCGAACCCCAGUGGGGCAAAGUUAACUGUUCCAGAUUGCUUUGCAAAGCAUCUGAGAAGCUGGGACUAGAAAUUAGCCUUAUCUUUGACUGCUGGGUUUAUAGGAAAAGCAGAUUGAGAUUGGCUCAGGCUAGGUUGGCUCAGGGGCUGGCAGAAGCUCCCUAAUGCCUAACAAAUUUGUUUCCUCUUCUUCCUAUGCACUCAGCUAGACUAUAUUGCCCAGUUUCCUUUGCAGUUAGGUGUGGUCACUGGAGUUCUAACCAUUAGAAUAGAGAGGAAGUCAUGCAUCAAUACAAGACUGGGCUUAUGAAUAUCUCCCAUGUACAAGUUUUUAUUCUUUCUCCUCAUAGUUUAGCUGAAUGGAGAGGUACUGAGCUAAGUGCUGAAGAUAUUGGAGCCAUCAAAUGGAAGAAGAUUGUUUUCCUAAAUCAUUGCUUGGAGAAGAGCCACUCAAUGAGAAAUUCCAUGUUGAGUUGUGAGAUGAGUGAGAAAUGAACAUUAUUAUGUUAAGAUUUGGAGAUUUAUCUGUUACCUCAUCUAGAGACAGCCUAAGAGAGGCUCUACCUGCUCAUGUGUAGAGGAAGGAUGCAUGGUGUGGGCAAGAUGAGGAGAACUCCAAGAAUCUUCUUCGUGGAGUUCAAAAGCUUCCCUGAGAAUAAGAGCUGACAGAGGUUGACUUGGCAAUCCUUUGAUAGCCCCCUUUGUCCACUUUGGCUUCACUAGGUGAAAAUACUAAAAAUGACUCAAAACCCCUUUGGUUUUCUGUGCCUCUGCAGAGCCUGCAGUAAAGUGUAAUAAAAGUAGAAACUGUGAGUAGGAAGCAUCUGAAGUGGGAAAUGCCGUUAGGCUGGCCCAUAAAAGAUGAGUGCUAUGAGCAGUAAAAUGAGCUAAGAAGGAAAACAUGAUGAAUGUUUUCUCGGCCUUAAGCAGCAAGAUCCCAUUUCAGCAUCCCACGUGGCACUGUGUGCCUGGCUGGAAAAAGCAAGGGCCUCUGUGCAAAGCCUGACUCAGGGAGUGUGGCAGUUGAGCCUAACCCUGGGGCCCCGGCUGGGGGAGUAGAGUGGGGUGGAGGUGCUGGGGGUGGGUGGAGGGAUGCAACUUGAUUUCUUCAUCACCUCCCAGGCCUUACUGACGCUUUCCAUGUUGAAGGUUCCCAUUGAGACACUGGAGGAAAUCCUGAAUUGCCCAAGUUACAGAGCAAGGACACCUCACAUAGGGAAAGGGAACCCAGAGGUCAUGGUGCCAGGAACAGCAGGGAGAACUUUAUGAGAUUUGACUCAAGAAAAUGAAUAUCCUCUGCUUCAAUCCCACUACCAUAGCUCAUACCACACAGAGAACAUGUGUCUUUACUGUGCUGGCCCCCACCUCGCACCGGGACACCUUCCUCCUCCUAGGUUUAGGCAGCUUCCAUGAAUUCUUCGAAGUACGAUUCAAGUUCAACUUUCUCCACGAGCCCACGACUUUUUAUUAUAGUCCCUGUAAAUCUCAUUUUUGGAAAAAUAUAGCAGUGGAAAGGCCUGGGUUGGAGCCCUGCCUUUGUUACUUGCAAGCUCUGUGAUUUUGUGCACAUUACUAACUUCUGUAAGUUUCGGUUUCCCUAUCUCUAAAAUAGGGAUUGAAAUAUAAAUCCUACAGGAUGGCUGCAAGGAUUACAGGAUAUUACCUUGCAUAAUGUGUAAGAUGUAAUAAACACUCAAUAAAAAUUAGUUUUCUUCUGAAAUUUUGCAGCAUAUAUGGUCUUUACCACCAAUUUAAUACUUUUAUUGUUUCUUAUGCACGUAGCUUGACUCUUCAACCAGGGUAAAAUCCCCUUCUAGAACAGAAUAAUGUCUCAGAUCAUUAUAGACUACCAAGCCAUAUUUAAUAUUUUUGCUUAUUAAUUACUGUUCAUCAUUAGUCUGAUUGAUAUCAAUUGGUUGGUUGAUCAUUAGUUUUAACCUUUUACAAAGUUAGUUAGAAAGGUGCCUCUCAUCCUCUAAGAAUGUCAUGAAAAUAUGAUUUUACUCGGGCUGUGUAGAAGAUAGAUUCAUAUUUUGAAGAGUCUCUAAAUUACUCCAGUCCCAAGAAGACUUCAAAAAAUUAGUAUCAAUGCUAUACAAAGCUAUUGUAAAGACAAAAAUGCCUGGCCUACGCUGACAUAAUAACAGCUGAACACAUCUUCCAGUGACACAUGGCUGCCCUCAGCACGAGUUAGAGUAAGCCAAUUCUAAGAAAAUGGCUAUAUUUGUACUAGCUCAAACAUCACCCUCUGAGAGCAGCCCUCUUAGAAAAUCAUAUCUAAAUAAGCCUUCGUUCUCAUUGCCCAGUCAUUCUCUAUCAUUCUAUUAUUUUUAAUUUCCUCAAAGUCAUCAAUGCAAUCUGAAAUUAUUCAUUUACUUGCUAGUGUAUUCAAUGUCAGUCUCUCACUAGACCAUGAGCUCCUAAAGGCAAGAACAUGUCUGGUUGUUCAUUGCUACGUUCUCAGUGCCCAGAGCAGUGCUUAACAAAGAGCAUUAUAUAAUAUGUAUUGAAUUGAAUCUGAUGAACCUUGACAUAAGUGUGGGGAACAAAUCUCCAAUUGAUGAUCAUAAGCAAAAAAGCUUUUGUGAAAUGCAUCUUUUUGGCUGGGUUUCCUUGGGAAAACAACUCUCCUUUAGCUUACUGAAUGCAAACUGGUACAACAGAGCUUCUCUGAAAUGCUCAAAGUACUAAGCAGUGAAUCACGUCAACCAGACAGCUCUGCUCUUGGAUCUCAGCUCUCAAAACUCCCACUAAUGAAAAAAUACUCCAUAGAAAAAGAUAUUAAUCUAUAGGCUGUAAGAAAGUUCUGAAUAUCUCUAUCUUUACUAAAUUGCUCCCUGAAAUGAAAUGCUAUUAUUUUUCCUCCAAUGUUUAUUCAUUGUAGUGUCUUUUAAAAUCUUAUUUUGUUCUUAACCCACCAUUUCUUAUUUCUAUAAAAAUUCUGAGCAUCCUUAAAAGCUCAGUAGAAGUUCUGCCUCACCAAUGAAAACAAUUAACCUCUUCUUACCCUAAACAUCUUCUUUGAAUUUCCAGAGCCUUUUAUAUCAUGCACCUCAUUGUGAAUGGCUGCCUAAAAAGCUAGCCCUUUCAAGAAAGAAACCAUGGUGUGAUUUUUACUCUUCCUUAUGUAUAACGGAUGCUUGCUAGCUACUAUUUACAUUUACACUAAUCUAUUACAGAAUACUAUAUGAAGAACAAUAAACCUUUGUUAAUUUAGGUAGCUUUAACUUGGAGUAAAUAAUAUUAUUUAGCCAUGCAACCAUUUCUUAUCCUUAAAAAAAGGCUUUGGUCAACAAAUUAAACAAUAAGUAUGUAUUGAGAUUCUAUAAUAGAUCAGGAACUGUCCUAGCUAUUGAGGAUGCAAAGAUGAAUAAGAUAGCCUUUCCCCAGAAAAAUGAGCAAUUGUGGAGCACCUUAGACUAUAGAAGAAUAAUCCUUCUAGUAAACACCCCUUUGUGUAAUCAUUAUGCCAAUUACAAUGAAUGCUCACUAUUUCAUGAAAGAGAAUUGCGUAGAGCAUAUUCUUCACAAUUCUUUAUCCAGUUUGUCUUUUAAAAAACAUUUUUAUUACUUCUUCAGGUACACAUGGAAACAUAUGCCAUAAUUCAGAUGUAACUAACUUGGAUUGUUCUAAUUAACCCAAAUUACAAAAAUGUUCUGUACUUAAUAUUCUAAAUGAUUAUUGAAAUUAUUAUUCUUACUAUUGGGUGAAAAUAUGGAGAUUUUUAUGUCAAGUUUUCUGAUUGGCAUACUAUGAUUAUCUAUUACCCCAAACCUCAAAGGGUGUUAGAUCAGUGAACAAUGUUUGGUAUGCUGCUAAAUUAAAAAGUAAUAAUAAUAACCGUAAGCUUCACAUGUAGUUGUUUUUGUUAUACCAUUAUGAAACCAAGGGGUGAUGCAAGGUUUCCAAAUAGGAGUGGUUUUCUAAGUUUUGAGGCAUGUCAUUCCCAGAGAGCCUACAAUCCGUGGAGGUACUCAGUCAGUCAUUGUCCAGCUAUUUUGGCAAUGAUCUGAUGGCUAAUGGAAUUAACUAGCAUGCCACCCUCUGCAGUUAUUUAUAAAACCAGAGCAAUGAAUAAGGUUUUUGCUCUCCCAAACCAACCUCCAUUUCCAGUGAAUGGCUGUGGUGGUUGGCAACCUGAGCCCACCAAAUCAAACCCUGAUGAAAUGGGUCAGUGAGCAACCAGUGUAACUGUCCACCAGGAAACAGUCUGGAGUAGGGGCAAGAGCAAGAGGUUUCAAGUCCUGGCUCUGCUGCUUCCCAGCCACUUAAGAAUGGGCAGGUCACAAAGUUUAUCUUUUACUUCUUCAUUUGCAAAACAAUACUUCCUGGCCUGUCCACCUUUCAUGGUUAUUGUGAGGCUCCAGUGAGAUAAUAUAUGAAAGUUCUUGUAAAUGGCAUAGUCCUAGCCUCUUUAUUAGUCUAAGUUGUCAGUUGGUGCAUGACAACUCAAAACCACUCUCCCCAUGCUGCAGUGAUGCAUUCAAGGAGGAUAGUACAUACUUAUUGUUCAAUAUACCAAGCAAAAUCCAGAGGCACUCUCACCUCAAUCCCUUAAGAUAUGUCUUCUUUCCUGAUUGUCCAAGUGCCUCGUGGUACUGCUGAAUGACAGUGCUAAUUGCACAGACCCUAAGGUCAGAUUGCCAGCUCCCCACUUGGUCAAAUAUUUAACAUUUUAUGAGCUCGUUACUGGAUCUAUAAAAUGAGGAUUCAAAUGUUACCUAUCUCACAGAAUUGUGGGAGGAUAAGAUAAUCACGUAAAACACAUGAUGUAGUAUCAGGUGGCACACAGUAACAAUGACAAUUACUAUUAGCCUCACACAGGUUUCUGCAGCUAAUAUGAAGGCAAAAAUCCCAUUAGAGUCAGAAGAUCUGGUUUCAAGUCCUCGUUCCCUCUGUGACAGGCUGGAUAAUGCUACAAAUUUCAUUCAAUCUCUCUGGAAUGCAGUUACUACUUAUAAAAGGAUGCUAAUAUUCACUUCAUGGGGCCUAUAUAAAAAUCACAUAGAGUAAUAUAUAUAUAACUUCUAUACUCACUGUAAUGCACGAUGAAAAUGCACAAGGCUGUUAUUUGAUUUUUCUGUAUGAACAAACAUGCAGAAAACAAUUGCAAAGAUUUUAUUUAGCGGCUUUC
Molecule: long non-coding RNA, 9714 nt
Filed under: Homo sapiens (human)
Lineage: Eukaryota; Metazoa; Chordata; Mammalia; Primates; Hominidae
Description: HSALNT0013508
Source: RNAcentral